Quercus lobata is the source of this 2529-nucleotide RNA transcript. RefSeq lists it as uncharacterized. The record is from RefSeq and is a predicted model, not a curated record. The transcript has 2 exons. NCBI's taxonomy places the organism in Eukaryota, Viridiplantae, Streptophyta, Magnoliopsida, Fagales, Fagaceae.
GACCCGUUGACGAGGCUAGUUUUUAUCCAGCUACCAACAGUGUAAGUCUCUCUCCAAACAAUUUAAACCCCGGCCCUCGACCUCGAGUAACCAUUGCCGAGGUCAGGUGCGUGUCCGGCCACCAACAUUACUUGACCUUGUGAUGGUUCCGCUUAUUACCUCUUAAAGUCAAUUGCCGUACUACUUUUCUAGUUUUAUAUAACUCCUCCUCCGGCGGUGGAGCAAUGGUUCGCGUAAAAGUGGAGCAGAGUCUGAAUGAGCCGCCAUCACUACUAGGACCAGUCAGGGUCAUCACCAAAACCAAAACCCCUCCCGCUCGUUGCUCUCGUACAAGAUCAAAACCCAAGACAACACCGAUGACGUGUCAAUAUGAGGAAGAAAGAGAGGAACACGAAGAGGAAGAGGAGGAGACUAGCAAUAACAACAGCAACGACGACGUUUCAGAUAAGGUGGGUCCCACGGUUGACGUGGCAGUCGCACAAGACGUUUUGGGCGGCGGCCCACUCUCGCGUCUCCGGGAGUUUCAUAACAGCGACCCCUCCAACAGCAGCAGCAGCAGCAGCAAUCUCAACCAACUGGAUUCGGCGGCGCGUGAACACUACGCGACGGCGGCGGAAUCGGUGAAGAAGCUGUUACUUUUGGAGCUCUCGUCGGCUCGGGACGUGGAAACGAUGGUGGAAUUGUCGAACAAGGCUUUCAAUAGCUUGGAUUGGCUUCAACCGGACUACUCUGAAUUCUACGACGCCGUUAAGGACGUCCUCUCUCUCCGCGCUCAACUCUCCUCCGUCGAGACCAAGCUCCGAACCCACCAAAACGAAGAAUCCGACGCCGUUUCGUCUCGCUGCGAUGUUGAAGUUCGGUCGAAAGAAUCGAUGGCAGCUCUGGCUAGAUCCGAAGCCGAGCUUGGGAAAGCCAAAGAGCGGGUUAGUGGUCUGAAGAGACGGGUUUCGGAGAUCAUGGACAUUUUGCGAAAGCUCGUGAUUGAAUCUGCUAAGGAAGAGAGGGUGCUUGCUGAUAUUGAAAAAGAAUGGAACCAAUGCCUUGAAUCUCACAUGGCUAUUAAGAAGGAAGAGAAAGAGUUAACUGAGCAAGUGGAGGAGAAGCAAAAGGCUGUCCAAAAGAUCAAGCAGCUUCGCGAUGAGGUCGAGGCUGGUGUUCAGGCCUCUAUAAAGGCUUUGUCUUCUCUCUGCCAAAACAAUGUAAUGUUACUGCAAACCCUCCCAAUUCUAUCUUCUUCUUUUUUUAAUAUAUACACACAAUUGUUGAGGUUGCAUAUUGUGGGGAACAAAACAAGGACCAAUAUUGAGCGGAUAGAAUGUGUUUUUUCGUGUUGUGAUUGUGUGUGAUAAAAGUGGUGUUCAUAGGGAUGGGUUCGCCAAAGUGUUGUCCCUAACCAGGGGCCUGCUGACUAUGAAAAUACCAAACACGUCUAAUUGUGCAUAUGAAUAGUUCAUAAUGGAGUAUUGGAGUUUUAGCUUUGACCUCAAUGAAUACAAAAAAUGAUGGAUUUAUUAGUAUCAUCUGUUAGAAUCAGUGCUGAUUUAUAUAAACAAUUUUCACUUCUGAGCAGAAAGUGAAAUUACUGACAUGAUAUUCAGUUCUUUAUUCUUUUGUUGGGAGGAGAAGAAGAGAGAGAGAGAGAGAGAGAGAGAGAGAGAGGAAGAGGGGGGUGCCUAGCAAAACAUAUUAAAAUUUGUGCUGUACUUAUGAUCACAGAAAUUUUGUGUGCUUAUUAUGAGAUGUGCAAUUGUAUUUGACUUAACCCUUUUUUGUAUUUUCUGAGAGAAUUGACUUCACUCUUUUGGAGUCCUCUUGUGCCUUUGUCCUAUAAGAGCUUGGGUUUCAAAGAGCCAAAACUUCCUGCGGAUGCUUGAGGAGCCUUGAGGGGUUAUUGGCACAGUUAGAAGAGGAAGUAUCAUUGGGUGCAGGGUGGGGGUGGUUGUAAGUAGCAACUAGCAACAUGCUGAAAUUUUAUACUGUAGUUGUGAUCUCAGAAAUUAUGGACAAUGUUGGUGGUGAUCAAUGACAUCUUGGCUUUAGCAGCUACUACCAUGUUUUUGAUUGCUCUUUUGACAGAGAGGAGCCAACUUUUGAUAAUAUCUCUGUCUGCUAUCUUUGUGUAUAACUCGCCAGAUGAACUUGGAUGGUAUAGAGGCUUCUCUUUCCCAUGCUUGAACUCAGAUGUGCUGUGCAUAUAACAACUUUUUGUAAUUUUGUUAAUGCAAUCUCUAACUGUUAGUUUCUUGUUUUCUGCUUAGUUUCUGCCAUGGAUGGAUAUAGGUUAUGGUAGACAGUCUAACUAUAUACAAAGACAGUCUAACUAUAUACAAAUAUACUUUUUAUACUUUUUAGCCCUAGAUUGAGUAGGGAGGAUGGGGAAGAUUAUUUUGGAUGGCAGAAUUUUUUUUUUUUGAUAUCUUCAAUGUCCUGCAAUUUGUAGUUUUGGACCUUCUAGGGGCCACUAUUUGUUGAAUGCGAAAGCUUGCUAUGUACUAUCAAAUAAUCUAAAGGCUGUGUUUCUUUAAGUUA